GAUGAACGCUGGCGGCGUGCCUAAUACAUGCAAGUCGAGCGAACGGACGAGAAGCUUGCUUUUCUGAUGUUAGCGGCGGACGGGUGAGUAACACGUGGAUAACCUACCUAUAAGACUGGGAUAACUUCGGGAAACCGGAGCUAAUACCGGAUCAUAUUUUGAACCGCAUGGUUCAAAAGUGAAAGACGGUCUUGCUGUCACUUAUAGAUGGAUCCGCGCUGCAUUAGCUAGUUGGUAAGGUAACGGCUUACCAAGGCAACGAUGCAUAGCCGACCUGAGAGGGUGAUCGGCCACACUGGAACUGAGACACGGUCCAGACUCCUACGGGAGGCAGCAGUAGGGAAUCUUGCACAAUGGGCGAAAGCCUGACGGAGCAACGCCGCGUGAGUGAUGAAGGUCUUCGGAUCGUAAAACUCUGUUAUUAGGGAAGAACAUAUGUGUAAGUAACUGUGCACAUCUUGACGGUACCUAAUCAGAAAGCCACGGCUAACUACGUG
This 497-nucleotide ribosomal RNA is filed under the name uncultured bacterium. RNAcentral describes it as "partial 16S ribosomal RNA". It matches the Rfam family "Bacterial small subunit ribosomal RNA", at positions 28 to 507 of the family's 1533-position model. The record is from RNAcentral.